Molecule: ribosomal RNA, 1294 nt
Filed under: Escherichia coli
Lineage: Bacteria; Pseudomonadati; Pseudomonadota; Gammaproteobacteria; Enterobacterales; Enterobacteriaceae
Description: partial 23S ribosomal RNA
Rfam family: Bacterial large subunit ribosomal RNA
Source: RNAcentral
CCAGACAGCCAGGAUGUUGGCUUAGAAGCAGCCAUCAUUUAAAGAAAGCGUAAUAGCUCACUGGUCGAGUCGGCCUGCGCGGAAGAUGUAACGGGGCUAAACCAUGCACCGAAGCUGCGGCAGCGACACUGUGUGUUGUUGGGUAGGGGAGCGUUCUGUAAGCCUGUGAAGGUGUGCUGUGAGGCAUGCUGGAGGUAUCAGAAGUGCGAAUGCUGACAUAAGUAACGAUAAAGCGGGUGAAAAGCCCGCUCGCCGGAAGACCAAGGGUUCCUGUCCAACGUUAAUCGGGGCAGGGUGAGUCGACCCCUAAGGCGAGGCCGAAAGGCGUAGUCGAUGGGAAACAGGUUAAUAUUCCUGUACUUGGUGUUACUGCGAAGGGGGGACGGAGAAGGCUAUGUUGGCCGGGCGACGGUUGUCCCGGUUUAAGCGUGUAGGCUGGUUUUCCAGGCAAAUCCGGAAAAUCAAGGCUGAGGCGUGAUGACGAGGCACUACGGUGCUGAAGCAACAAAUGCCCUGCUUCCAGGAAAAGCCUCUAAGCAUCAGGUAACAUCAAAUCGUACCCCAAACCGACACAGGUGGUCAGGUAGAGAAUACCAAGGCGCUUGAGAGAACUCGGGUGAAGGAACUAGGCAAAAUGGUGCCGUAACUUCGGGAGAAGGCACGCUGAUAUGUAGGUGAAGUCCCUCGCGGAUGGAGCUGAAAUCAGUCGAAGAUACCAGCUGGCUGCAACUGUUUAUUAAAAACACAGCACUGUGCAAACACGAAAGUGGACGUAUACGGUGUGACGCCUGCCCGGUGCCGGAAGGUUAAUUGAUGGGGUUAGCGCAAGCGAAGCUCUUGAUCGAAGCCCCGGUAAACGGCGGCCGUAACUAUAACGGUCCUAAGGUAGCGAAAUUCCUUGUCGGGUAAGUUCCGACCUGCACGAAUGGCGUAAUGAUGGCCAGGCUGUCUCCACCCGAGACUCAGUGAAAUUGAACUCGCUGUGAAGAUGCAGUGUACCCGCGGCAAGACGGAAAGACCCCGUGAACCUUUACUAUAGCUUGACACUGAACAUUGAGCCUUGAUGUGUAGGAUAGGUGGGAGGCUUUGAAGUGUGGACGCCAGUCUGCAUGGAGCCGACCUUGAAAUACCACCCUUUAAUGUUUGAUGUUCUAACGUUGACCCGUGAUCCGGGUUGCGGACAGUGUCUGGUGGGUAGUUUGACUGGGGCGGUCUCCUCCUAAAGAGUAACGGAGGAGCACGAAGGUUGGCUAAUCCUGGUCGGACAUCAGGAGGUUAGUGCAAUGGCAUAAGC